AGUGAACGCUGGCGGUAGGCCUAACACAUGCAAGUCGAACGGCAGCACAGUAAGAGCUUGCUCUUACGGGUGGCGAGUGGCGGACGGGUGAGGAAUACAUCGGAAUCUACUUUUUCGUGGGGGAUAACGUAGGGAAACUUACGCUAAUACCGCAUACGACCUACGGGUGAAAGCAGGGGAUCUUCGGACCUUGCGCGAUUGAAUGAGCCGAUGUCGGAUUAGCUAGUUGGCGGGGUAAAGGCCCACCAAGGCGACGAUCCGUAGCUGGUCUGAGAGGAUGAUCAGCCGCACUGGAGCUGGGACACGGUCCAGACUCCUACGGGAGGCAGCAGUGGGGAAUAUUGGACAAGGGGCGCAAGCCUGAUCCAGCCAUACCGCGUGGGUGAAGAAGGCCUUCGGGUUGUAAAGCCCUUUUGUUGGGAAAGAAAAGCAGCAGGUUAAUACCCCGCUGUUCUGACGGUACCCAAAGAAUAAGCACCGGCUAACUUCGU
This 491-nucleotide ribosomal RNA is filed under the name uncultured bacterium. RNAcentral's name for it is "partial 16S ribosomal RNA". It matches the Rfam family "Bacterial small subunit ribosomal RNA", at positions 29 to 506 of the family's 1533-position model. The record is from RNAcentral.